ACUAACAAGGUUCCCCCUAGUAACUGCGAGUGAAGCGGGAAGACCUCAAAUUUGAAAUCUGAUGGUUUUUGACUGUCCGAGUUGUAAUCUAGAGAAGUGUUACCUGUGCUGGACCAUGUACAAGUCUUCUGGAAUGGAGCAUCAUAGAGGGUGAGAAUCCCGUCUUUGACAUGGACUACCUGUACGUUGUGGUAUGCUCUCAAAGAGUCGAGUUGUUUGGGAAUGCAGCUCAAAAUGGGUGGUAAAUGCCAUCUAAAGCUAAAUAUUGGCGAGAGACCGAUAGCGAACAAGUACCGUGAGGGAAAGAUGAAAAGAACUUUGGAAAGAGAGUUAAACAGUACGUGAAAUUGCUGAAAGGGAAACGCUUGAAGUCAGUCACGUUGGCUAGAAAUCAGCCUUGCUUCUGCUUGGUGUACUUUCUGGUUGACGGGUCAGCAUCAAUUUUGACCAUUGGAUAAAGUCUCUGGGAAUGUGGCAUCUUUUUUUAGAUGUGUUAUAGCCCAUUGUCGCAUACGGUGGUUGGGAUUGAGGAACUCAGCAUGCUCUGAAAAAUGGGCCAGGUUUCGACCAUGUUCAUGCUUAGGAUGCUGGCAUAAUGGCUUCAAUCGACCCGUCUUGAAACACGGACCAAGGAGUCUAACAUGCCUGCGAGUGU
This 655-nucleotide ribosomal RNA is filed under the name Inocybe ventricosa. RNAcentral describes it as "LSU rRNA". It matches the Rfam family "Eukaryotic large subunit ribosomal RNA", at positions 64 to 693 of the family's 3401-position model. Lineage: Eukaryota; Fungi; Basidiomycota; Agaricomycetes; Agaricales; Inocybaceae. The record is from RNAcentral.